GUGCUUAACACAUGCAAGUCGAACGAUGAAGCCUAGCUUGCUAGGUGGAUUAGUGGCGCACGGGUGAGUAAUAUAUAGAUAACGUGCCUCUUAGUCUGGGAUAGCCAUUGGAAACGAUGAUUAAUACUAGAUACUCCUUCUAACUCUAAUGUUAGUCGGGAAAGUUUUUCGCUAAGAGAUCGGUCUAUAUCCCAUCAGCUAGUUGGUAGUGUAAGAGACUACCAAGGCAAUGACGGGUAGCGGGUUUGAGAGGAUGAUCCGCCACACUGGUACUGAGACACGGACCAGACUCCUACGGGAGGCAGCAGUGAGGAAUAUUGCACAAUGGAGGAAACUCUGAUGCAGCAACGCCGCGUGGAGGAUGACGCAUUUCGGUGUGUAAACUCCUUUUAUAUGUCAAGAAAAUGACGGUAGCAUAUGAAUAAGCACCGGCUAACUCCGUGCCAGCAGCCGCGGUAAUACGGAGGGUGCAAGCGUUAUUCGGAAUCACUGGGCGUAAAGGACGCGUAGGCGGGAUGCCAAGUCUGAUGUGAAAUCCUAUGGCUUAACCAUAGAACUGCAUUGGAAACUGGUAACCUAGAGUAUGGGAGGGGGAGAUGGAAUUAGUGGUGUAGGGGUAAAAUCCGUAGAUAUCACUAGGAAUACCGAAAGCGAAGGCGAUCUCCUGGAACAAUACUGACGCUAAGGCGUGAAAGCGUGGGGAGCAAACGGGAUUAGAUACCCCGGUAGUCCACGCCCUAAACGAUGUUCACUAGUCGUCGGGAUGCUAGUCAUCUCGGUGAUGCACUUAACAGAUUAAGUGAACCGCCUGGGGAGUACGG
Molecule: ribosomal RNA, 821 nt
Filed under: uncultured bacterium
Lineage: Bacteria
Description: bacterial SSU rRNA
Rfam family: Bacterial small subunit ribosomal RNA
Source: RNAcentral